Chelonoidis abingdonii (Abingdon island giant tortoise) is the source of this 757-nucleotide non-coding RNA. The record is from RefSeq and is a predicted model, not a curated record. Lineage: Eukaryota; Metazoa; Chordata; Testudines; Testudinidae.
AUGUUGCAAGGGGAGAGGCUUUAAAGUGACCUGGACCCAGGGCCAAGUCCCAGGAACAGGCAGGUUCAGAGGUGUAGCCAUCAGGGAGAGAGCUGCCAUGCCACGCCUGGCCAUGAGGAGGUGCCAGCGACCUUUUUGCCUUCACCCCCAGCCUGUGACACUGGACUGAGGGCUCUGUAGACUGUACUGUACUGUGACUAACCAGCAGGAAUCGCUGCUUGAGGGAUAAACAUCUGGCCUCCUCCCCAGUCCUCUUCCCUGGAAGCUGUGCAUGCCACCUUCAUCACUGCAACAAAUCCACUGCGUGAUCAGCAGAGCAGCUGGACCGCUGAGGAGCUCAUAUCUCUCAGCCUGCCAUGGCCGAAAGGAGAGACGUGGAACUGGACAUUUAAAAUCUAUAAUAGAGACUCAAAAGAGAAACAUCAGGAUGGUAACACAAGGAGGAGGAAGCAGGCAGUGCUGUGGGCUUCAUUUCUGUAACAUGGAUGUUUUCCAUUAUCCGAGCUCCACAGUUCUGUAUUUUCAGUAUUGUACCAGCAGGAAGAGAACAGGAACUCCCUUUGGACGAUCAGCAUGAUUGAGUAGCUAUAGCACUGGACUGCAAGGUAAGAGAGCUGUGUUCCGUUCCGGGUUCUGCUGUGUUGCCUCCUCUCCUUCAGCUGCCUUGUCCAUUUAGAGUACGAGCUACAUGGGCAACCAUCUCUCACAACGCACGUGGACAAUGUCCAGCACCAUGGGGCCAUAAUCUCCAUUGUUA